GACGAACGCUGGCGGCGUGCCUAAUACAUGCAAGUCGAACGAACUCUGGUAUUGAUUGGUGCUUGCAUCAUGAUUUACAUUUGAGUGAGUGGCGAACUGGUGAGUAACACGUGGGAAACCUGCCCAGAAGCGGGGGAUAACACCUGGAAACAGAUGCUAAUACCGCAUAACAACUUGGACCGCAUGGUCCGAGUUUGAAAGAUGGCUUCGGCUAUCACUUUUGGAUGGUCCCGCGGCGUAUUAGCUAGAUGGUGAGGUAACGGCUCACCAUGGCAAUGAUACGUAGCCGACCUGAGAGGGUAAUCGGCCACAUUGGGACUGAGACACGGCCCAAACUCCUACGGGAGGCAGCAGUAGGGAAUCUUUCACAAUGGACGAAAGUCUGAUGGAGCAACGCCGCGUGAGUGAAGAAGGGUUUCGGCUCGUAAAACUCUGUUGUUAAAGAAGAACAUAUCUGAGAGUAACUGUUCAGGUAUUGACGGUAUUUAACCAGAAAGCCACGGCUAACUACGUGCCAGCAGCCGCGGUAAUACGUAGGUGGCAAGCGUUGUCCGGAUUUAUUGGGCGUAAAGCGAGCGCAGGCGGUUUUUUAAGUCUGAUGUGAAAGCCUUCGGCUCAACCGAAGAAGUGCAUCGGAAACUGGGAAACUUGAGUGCAGAAGAGGACAGUGGAACUCCAUGUGUAGCGGUGAAAUGCGUAGAUAUAUGGAAGAACACCAGUGGCGAAGGCGGCUGUCUGGUCUGUAACUGACGCUGAGGCUCGAAAGUAUGGGUAGCAAACAGGAUUAGAUACCCUGGUAGUCCAUACCGUAAACGAUGAAUGCUAAGUGUUGGAGGGUUUCCGCCCUUCAGUGCUGCAGCUAACGCAUUAAGCAUUCCGCCUGGGGAGUACGGCCGCAAGGCUGAAACUCAAAGGAAUUGACGGGGGCCCGCACAAGCGGUGGAGCAUGUGGUUUAAUUCGAAGCUACGCGAAGAACCUUACCAGGUCUUGACAUACUAUGCAAAUCUAAGAGAUUAGACGUUCCCUUCGGGGACAUGGAUACAGGUGGUGCAUGGUUGUCGUCAGCUCGUGUCGUGAGAUGUUGGGUUAAGUCCCGCAACGAGCGCAACCCUUAUUAUCAGUUGCCAGCAUUAAGUUGGGCACUCUGGUGAGACUGCCGGUGACAAACCGGAGGAAGGUGGGGAUGACGUCAAAUCAUCAUGCCCCUUAUGACCUGGGCUACACACGUGCUACAAUGGAUGGUACAACGAGUUGCGAACUCGCGAGAGUAAGCUAAUCUCUUAAAGCCAUUCUCAGUUCGGAUUGUAGGCUGCAACUCGCCUACAUGAAGUCGGAAUCGCUAGUAAUCGCGGAUCAGCAUGCCGCGGUGAAUACGUUCCCGGGCCUUGUACACACCGCCCGUCACACCAUGAGAGUUUGUAACACCCAAAGUCGGUGGGGUAACCUUUUAGGAACCAGCCGCCUAAGGUGGGACAGAUGAUUAGGGUG
This 1489-nucleotide ribosomal RNA is filed under the name Lactiplantibacillus plantarum. RNAcentral's name for it is "bacterial SSU rRNA". It matches the Rfam family "Bacterial small subunit ribosomal RNA". Lineage: Bacteria; Bacillati; Bacillota; Bacilli; Lactobacillales; Lactobacillaceae. The record is from RNAcentral.